This 369-nucleotide ribosomal RNA is filed under the name uncultured bacterium. RNAcentral describes it as "bacterial SSU rRNA". It matches the Rfam family "Bacterial small subunit ribosomal RNA", at positions 28 to 398 of the family's 1533-position model. The record is from RNAcentral.
GACGAACGCUGGCGGCGUGCUUAACACAUGCAAGUCGAGCGGUAAGGCUCCUUCGGGAGUACACGAGCGGCGAACGGGUGAGUAACACGUGAGCAAUCUGCCCUUCACAUGGGAAUAACUUCGGGAAACCGAAGCUAAUACCGAAUACGACCACCGGUGGCAUCUUCUGGUGGUGGAAAGUUCCGGCGGUGAAGGAUGAGCUCGCGGCCUAUCAGCUAGUUGGUGAGGAAUGGCCCACCAAGGCGACGACGGGUAGCCGGCCUGAGAGGGUGACCGGCCACACUGGGACUGAGACACGGCCCAGGACUCCUACGGGAGGCAGCAGUGGGGAAUAUUGGACAAUGGGCGAAAGCCUGAUCCAGCAACGCC